Molecule: long non-coding RNA, 952 nt
Filed under: Zostera marina
Lineage: Eukaryota; Viridiplantae; Streptophyta; Magnoliopsida; Alismatales; Zosteraceae
Description: long non-coding RNA (ZMAR_LNC001878)
Source: RNAcentral
ACAGAAGUGUCGGGAGAGCUUGUGAUACUCCCCCCUGAGUUUCGACGACUUCUGGCCGAAGCGACAGAAGUGCCGGGAGAGCUUGUGAUACUCCCCCCGAAGGUUGUGCUUUGUUGAUGCACAACUUUUGUGAAGAGUGUUUUUCGAUUUAUGUGAUUGUCGGUAAACGACCAAUCACAAAAACUCGACACUCCAAGGUUGCCUUGAAACUUGGAACCUUAAGGAGAGAGUUUGUGAUACUCCCUCUCAUAGUGUGAUGACCUCUGGCCGGAGCGACAGAAGCGUUGGGAGAGUUUUUGAUACUCUUCCCCUGAAAUUUGACGACUUCUGGCCAAAGCGACAUAAGUGUCGGGAGAGCUUGUGAUACUCCCCCCUUGAAUUUUGACGACUUCUGGCCGAAGCGACAGAAGUGUCGGGAGAGUUUGUGAUACUCCCCCUGGAAUUGGACGACUUCUGGCCGGAGCGACAGAAGUGCCGGGAGAGUUUGUGAUACUCCCCCUGGAAACUUGCACUUGGGGCAGUUUCUAGUGUUAUUGUACUCGGAAUCGGCGACUGGAGUGUGUAAUACUCUUGGCAGUCGGCGAUAUCCGUAGCAAGGGACGUUUUUGUUUUCUACCCUUGUGAGUCGGCGACUCCCUCUGUGAGUCGGCGACUCCUAACGUAACCGUCGGAUCUUUUCGGGAGAUCCUUGGAAUAUUUGGGAGAUAUACGGGGAAUAUUUGUAAAAUCUCCAAAUAAGGAAUGUAUCUCACAUUGCCGUGAGUUUUUGCCCAGAGUCGGCGACUGCCAUGUGGAGUCGGCGACUAGGCGUGAUUAGGGGGAUUUGGAGAUCGAAUCUCGAUCUCAAACUUCGUAAUUUUUGGAUUCUCUGUGGGAUUUUUGCAAUUUUCCCAAGGCCUAUAAAUAGUGAAGAGGUUUUCCCCAAACCCUCACAACACUUUUUUGCCCUUCU